Molecule: ribosomal RNA, 253 nt
Filed under: uncultured bacterium
Lineage: Bacteria
Description: partial 16S ribosomal RNA
Rfam family: Bacterial small subunit ribosomal RNA
Source: RNAcentral
UACGUAGGGUGCGAGCGUUGUCCGGAAUUAUUGGGCGUAAAGAGCUCGUAGGCGGUUUGUUGCGUCGGCCGUGAAAACCUGCAGCUUAACUGUGGGCCUGCGGCCGAUACGGGCAGACUUGAGUUCGGUAGGGGAGACUGGAAUUCCUGGUGUAGCGGUGAAAUGCGCAGAUAUCAGGAGGAGCACCGGUGGCGAAGGCGGGUCUCUGGGCCGAUACUGACGCUGAGGAGCGAAAGCGUGGGGAGCGAACAGG